Molecule: ribosomal RNA, 497 nt
Filed under: uncultured bacterium
Lineage: Bacteria
Description: partial 16S ribosomal RNA
Rfam family: Bacterial small subunit ribosomal RNA
Source: RNAcentral
GAUGAAUGCUGGCGGCGUGCCUAAUACAUGCAAGUCGAGCGAACAGACGAGGAGCUUGCUCCUUUGACGUUAGCGGCGGACGGGUGAGUAACACGUGGAUAACCUACCUAUAAGACUGGGAUAACUUCGGGAAACCGGAGCUAAUACCGGAUAACAUGUUGAACCGCAUGGUUCAACAGUGAAAGACGGUUUUGCUGUCACUUAUAGAUGGAUCCGCGCCGCAUUAGCUAGUUGGUAAGGUAACGCCUUACCAAGCCAACGAUGCUUAGCCGACCUGAGAGGGUGAGCGGCCACACUGGAACUGAGACACGGUCCAGACUCCUACGGGAGGCAGCAGUAGGGAAUCUUCCGCAAUGGGCGAAAGCCUGACGGAGCAACGCCGCGUGAGUGAAGAAGGUCUUCGGAUCGUAAAACUCUGUUAUUAGGGAAGAACAAAUGUGUAAGUAACUAUGCACGUCUUGACGGUACCUAAUCAGAAAGCCACGGCUAACUACGUG